UUCAGAGGAGAAGAGCCUCUGGCGACGCUCACCUAGACACGGCCUGUUGUGUUUAGUGGCAUUUUGUGCUUGGAGACUCAUUUACAGCCGCUCCUCUCCGCUUUCCCUUUCCCAUCUUUUAGUGUGCGGAGGGAUGUGUGUGUGUGUGUCCACAUUCGCGUGUGUUUGUGGGUGUCCUUCUGAAAUGGAGCGGUCUCUCUUGCCUCAACUCCUUUCCUUCUCAUUAAAUUUGGGGGUUAUAUUUGCAUGUCCUCACCUUCAGAAAGAAGGUUGUUCAUGUGUUGAGGUGCUUCUUUUUAUACAGUCUAUGUGUGUGUGUGUGUGUGUGUGUGUGUGUGUGUGUGUGUGUGUGUGUGUGUGUGAAUGCACACAUUCACAAGAGAGAGAAAAAAACAGUGUGGGACAAACCCUGAAAAAGCAAAGGACAUUACCAGUGACUUAGCUUUGAUUGUGUACAAUAGAACACCUAUCCAGUCGGUGUGUCCAGAUCCAAUUUUGAUAUCAGAUAUCAGUCCGAUAUGAGCACAAAAAGGGAUAUCGGAUUAUAGAUUUAUAAUUUUUAUGUUCAAAAAUCGUUUUUUUUCUUCCAAAAUUAAAAAUAAAUCCUAAAAACUGACUUAUCGUAUUUUUCUCACAUAAAAUCCUAAAAUUGAUGGUGCACCUUAUAAUCAGGUGCGCCUUUAUAGUGCAAAUAAUACGGUACAUGUGAUGUGUAUUUUUUGGGGGAAAUAUGGUUCCUGGAUUAGUCAGUUGACGAUCAUAAUCACUCAACUGUUUCACUGGUGUUAAAAAUGAAGACUAAAAAUCGAGAAAUUUGACAAUAUUGUAGAUUCGCAAUUUGAAUCGAAUCCAAAAAAUCGUAGAAGAAUCGAACUGGGAGAAAAGCAUAUCGUCCAAGCCCUGAUCUAAAAUCUUCGAUACAAGCAGUCCAUUCCAGACUCCGCUCUGGUACCUCUAUCUGGCAGUGCCCAGAUCCAGCAUGCAGAGCCCAUGUGAUCAAUAUCAGAUCAAUAUUGGUACCUGCCAAUCCUGAAGGCUUCAAUAUCGAUAUUGUAUUGGAAGUAAAAAAGUUGUAUCAGGACAUCCCUACUAUCCAGUACCAACUCUGCAAUUAUUCAGCUGUAACCCAACAUCUCACUGUGCAGCGAAACAUCACAUUUCCUUUAAAAAUCAUGGCACCCCAACAACAUAGUAAGCAAGGACUACAUAUUCAUAUACAAGAGGUAACACGUGUGCAGUGAAGUGACUAUAUCAGUGAUGUUUUGAGGAAUACCAUUGAGAGAUAGAUUAUAUAGGAUUUCUCCUGUGACCAUGAGUCAGAGUCACAGCCUACAUCUUUUAUUCAACUUCAGCGUCAGACGGAUGAGUCCUCAGUUAAAUAUGCAGGUACAGCCGCUAUAAUUGGAGAUAUUGGUCCCUGCUGUGCUCGACUCCAGUCAAACCAAGUCAAGCCAUUUCAGCACACUGCUGAUGUCAAAUCUCCAGACAGAACCAGAGAAGCGGUACAAAUGAAUGCACCCAUUAUACAGUACAUUGUUGUUAUUAGCCAACAUGAAUUUGGAGCGAUAACAUGGGUUUACCCGAUGACUGAGCCACAGUGCUCUUUCACUGAAAAAUAACACAGACUUUAAUGCAAGGAGGAGGUGGUGCUCUUCAGUCAGCAAUGCUUCAAAAGACCUCCUGUAGGUGAUAUCACAUUAUGACACUUUUGUAUCGUUCAAGAAAUUAUACUGACAUUAUCGUGGGCGAAAUGAUACAGCGCAGCCCUAGUUAUGACACUGAGGUGGACUCACAAUUUAAAAAGGGAAGUUAAUACUGUAAUCCAGUUGAUAAAGAGGGAAAAACACAAGAGAGCCGGGUUAAUAUCUAGUGUAAUGUUCUUGGUCGCUGCCAUUGUGAAGCUCUCACUGUCACAGCUGUAUUGCCUCAAGAGCUGUGUUGCAUGCACUUCAGUUUUAUGUGUCCCAUACCGCAGAGCAUGUAAAAUAGAUAACAUGGGAGUUGUUCUACAGUGAAAGCAGGACUUUGUUAAACUGUAUGAUCUAAAGACAAGGUAGAAAAUAAAUAAGAAACACACAAACACACAACAACAAAUAAAAAAUAAUAAAAUAAUAAUAAAUAAUAGUAUCCAGGCAAAUACUCAAAAUGUAAAAAAUUUGAUCAGGAUUGGGGCCCAAAGGCUGAUCGGGACAUCUCUAUGUUAAUGCAA
Molecule: non-coding RNA, 2209 nt
Organism: Xyrichtys novacula (pearly razorfish)
Lineage: Eukaryota; Metazoa; Chordata; Actinopteri; Labriformes; Labridae
Source: the annotation of a GenBank genome assembly